RNAcentral lists this ribosomal RNA (465 nucleotides) under uncultured bacterium. RNAcentral's name for it is "partial 16S ribosomal RNA". It matches the Rfam family "Bacterial small subunit ribosomal RNA", at positions 28 to 507 of the family's 1533-position model. The record is from RNAcentral.
GACGAACGCUGGCGGCGUGCUUAACACAUGCAAGUCGAACGGAAAGGCCCCUUUGGGGGUACUCGAGUGGCGAACGGGUGCGUAACACGUGAGUAACCUGCCCUUGACUUCGGGAUAACUUCAGGAAACUGGGGCUAAUACCGGAUAGGAAUCCUUGCGGCAUGGUGGGGGUUGGAAAGCUUCGGCGGUUUUGGAUGGACUCGCGGCUUAUCGGCUGGUUGGUGGGGUAGUGGCUUACCAAGGCUUUGACGGGUAGCCGGCCUGAGAGGGCGACCGGCAACAUUGGGGCUGAGAGACGGCCCAGACCCCUACGGUAGGCAGCAGUUGGGAAUAUUGCACAAUGGGCGGAAGCCUGAUGCAGCAACGCCGCGGGCGGGAUGACGGCCUUCGGGUUGUAAACCGCUUUCAGCAGGGGCGAAGCUUGUGGUGACGGUACCUGCAGAAGAAGCACCGGCUAACUACGUG